Non-coding RNA from Sus scrofa (pig), 734 nucleotides. The record is from RefSeq and is a predicted model, not a curated record. Lineage: Eukaryota; Metazoa; Chordata; Mammalia; Artiodactyla; Suidae.
UUUUUGACUUUUUUUUUUUUUUUUGUCCUCAGAAUUAUGGCAGAUUUUCUAGCUUAAGAACAACUUAAUUGGAGCUCUCCAACAGUUAGUCCAUAGUCCUGUGGAAUUAUAGAAUGAUAUCAGUUGAUAUCUUAAGCACAGUGACCAACUUCUUACCUCCUAGUCUCAGAGAUCGAUUUUAUGUGGAAUUCGCCAUUCUCUUGCUUGCCUUGGAUAAUGAGAUAACAAAGCUGUUAUUCAUAUCAUUCAACUUUUUUUCUGCAGACAAAAGGACACAUCUUAGGUAAAUAGAAACCUCUGCUCAAAAAACAAAGGAAAAAGUUUUUGACUCAUCAUUUUGAGUGGAGUCUUACACAGAAGUUUUGAUCCCUCAAAUGAAGAGACUUACAGCAUUUGGGGGAAGUUGGACCCUGAGGCAGUAGUCACAGAGUGUCGCACUGGGGCUUCAUAAUCUAUGAACUCCUGAGUCCACUGAGUUCUAGGAACUAUGGAACAGUUAGCACAGUAUGUAUUUCUUUGAUAUUUGUAUUUCAAUAAAUAUAAAUAAUUCAAAUGUUUAAGUUAAAAAUGUUUUUUUAAAAAAUGAUAAAGUAACAUUGAAGACACAUCUGUUAUUUGUUGUUUUUCAUAUACUUAAUUGCCAGCUGAAUUUUGAUUUUCAGAGGAAUUCUUAUUAAAAUUAGUAGAUAAGGGAGUUCCUGUCUUGGCACAGUGGAAACAAUCUGACUACUAUC